CUCACGCUUGUAAUCCUAGCUACUCAGGAGGCGGAGAUCUGAGGAUUGUAGUAAAAAGCCAUCCCAGGCAGAAAAGUCCCUGUGAGACUCUUAUCACCAAUUGACCAUUCAAAAACUGAUAGUGGAGCUAUGGCUCAAAGUGGUAGAGUGCUAGCCUUGAG
Perognathus longimembris pacificus (Pacific pocket mouse) is the source of this 161-nucleotide long non-coding RNA. RefSeq lists it as uncharacterized. The transcript has 2 exons. Lineage: Eukaryota; Metazoa; Chordata; Mammalia; Rodentia; Heteromyidae. The record is from RefSeq and is a predicted model, not a curated record.